GGGUAAGUGAAAUACAGUAGCAACGAUAAUGAACGAAUGAGAUAUAUAUAUAUGAAAGAACAACUACCGCUACUGUAACGAAGAACUGAAAGCAUACAAGGAUAUCAAAACUAUAGUAGCAAGACAACUGUAAAGAAAGACUAUAAGUAUACAUGCAACAACCGCUACUAUAGCUAUAUGCAUCAACCGGACGAGAAGUCCAAAUAUACCCAAUCUGAAAACUUGGCCCUGUUGGUCCGCACGGCAGACCUCAAGCCUGUCACGCCCCACCCCGAAUCCACUACCAAUUUGGCACGGUUCGGGCGCGCCGGACGGACCGCCGAACGGACAGCACCUCUCCUAUCCGCCCAAGGCUAAACACCCAGAUCAUGUACAAAUAAGCGCCCAGGAAAUGCUUAGAUAACAUACACGAUCGAUAAGAUGCACACAAGUGCAAUACAUCUAAGAGCAAGAACCACAAGUAGAUACAAGUGUAUAAAGAGAGAUAGUCUAACUAUUACAACCAUUCAACAUUUGAAUAUAUUACAUUUUCAACUUCCAAAUGCAAGUACAUGUUUUCCUCAAAAUAUAAGUAGCUCUCUAAUAACCAUCCAAAACAUCAUCUAGUACACGAGGGUACUCUAAUGCAUAAAGGAAAAGCUACUAUCUAAGCUCACUUAGGGCGCUAUGCCCUUGCCGCGGUCCUCGCUCGACUCGCCUCUGUGUGUACCUGUACCCCAAAACCACACGGGGUGAGAACUAUAUAAAUAUAGUUCCCAGUGGGUUCGGCCGCCGACGCCGCCGGUUUUCCCACUAGGUCUAAGCUGGCACAGAUAGAGAGAUAGAUAGAUAUAUAGAGAAUGAACUGCAACUACUCUAUCAUGCCAUCAAUGAUAAUAAUGCAUGAAACAACUACUAUCAUGCUAGUAUCAUGUCAUAAGUAUAGAAAAGUACAUAACAAUGCAAACUGCAACAUACACUAUGUCUACUCAAGGUAAUAAUGCAAAUCUACUAUGCAUUUCAUGUUUAUUACCCAAUCUACUUGGCUAACCCGUAGGUUAAACCCUCGACUCACUCUCAAUCUCAUAGGUGAGGAGAAGCUGCACUCGCACACUGAGACCGUCUGCGGGACAACUACGUCUGCCCCUAGUAAAGUACUCCGGAGACUCAUGCCACAGUGGAGCGACCACCGACGGCGAAAACAAACUAGUGAGUAUGAUCCAAUCCUCACAAGAGGAUACCCUAUCUACAAGGGUCAACGUGCCUCUGCUGCACAAUAUACAAUGCAUCCUAGAUGCCGGGAUCUCAACUAUCCCUAAGUUCACGUCAAGUUUACUACACUAGACUCGAUGCCACUCGUUCGGUCAUUGUAGUAAGUUUUCUACUAGUUGACAUGCCACUCGUUUCAAUUUAGUGUUUCUACUACACUAGUUCAAUGCCACUCUACUAGGCUAUCAUAUGUCCAAGUUCGGCUCUUUAUGCCGCUAUAGGAUUCUAUGUCACAAAACCCAAUCCUCAUGCUAUCCUAGUCCACGUGUCAAGCUCACCCCGCUACACUACCAAGAAAGCAUGCAAGGAAAUGGAAAUGUACAACUACUAUUCCUAUAGCACAAUAUGAUCAAUAUAAUUAACUUAGACAUAAAAGAAAACCCGGAUGUUUCGGGAUGACACCCCCCACCUUUUGUGUAUAAGGAGGCUCUAGAAAUGCGCUUCGGCGUUCUUUACGACGAAGCCUCGGUCUCCUUGGUCCAAAUGACGCUCAAUCGGCCUUGUUUCGCCGAUAGCUCUUGACCCGCUCGACGAAUGCGAAAUCCGACUUCGCCCCCGCGUUUUGGCACCUACCAAUUAGGUUUACAAGGCCUCAAAUGAGAUCAAGCUCAUACUUUACCAAAAACCCUAUUUUGGUGCCCUAGGGUUCCCAUCUUGCCAUUUGCAAUUUGGAACCCUAACUCUAGCUUCAAUCCUCCAACAAUGGUGC
RNAcentral lists this long non-coding RNA (1957 nucleotides) under Ananas comosus (pineapple). RNAcentral describes it as "long non-coding RNA (ACOM_LNC044336)". The record is from RNAcentral. Lineage: Eukaryota; Viridiplantae; Streptophyta; Magnoliopsida; Poales; Bromeliaceae.